ACUCCUGUCGUUCAACGGUACAGGACCGCAGUUUCCUAAACUGCAGAUCAGGGUUAGAGUCCUUGCAGGAGUACCA
RNAcentral lists this transfer RNA (76 nucleotides) under Clostridiales bacterium. RNAcentral's name for it is "tRNA-Arg". It matches the Rfam family "tRNA". Rfam says of the family: Transfer RNA (tRNA) molecules are approximately 80 nucleotides in length. Lineage: Bacteria; Bacillati; Bacillota; Clostridia; Eubacteriales. The record is from RNAcentral.